AAAAACAAUAAUUAAAAGUUAGUGACAGCCAUUGUAAAUAAGUGCCAACUACAGAAUUUAUUUCACAAAAUGCCUACAAAAAUGUAUAUGUAGAUUUUAUACA
This 103-nucleotide small RNA is filed under the name Arabidopsis thaliana (thale cress). Its description in RNAcentral is "ATSL229070". Lineage: Eukaryota; Viridiplantae; Streptophyta; Magnoliopsida; Brassicales; Brassicaceae. The record is from RNAcentral.